This 719-nucleotide ribosomal RNA is filed under the name Penicillium expansum. RNAcentral's name for it is "eukaryotic LSU rRNA". The stretch from base 160 to 312 matches the Rfam family "5.8S ribosomal RNA". The record is from RNAcentral. Lineage: Eukaryota; Fungi; Ascomycota; Eurotiomycetes; Eurotiales; Aspergillaceae.
UUGGGUCCACCUCCCACCCGUGUUUAUUUACCUCGUUGCUUCGGCGGGCCCGCCUUAACUGGCCGCCGGGGGGCUCACGCCCCCGGGCCCGCGCCCGCCGAAGACACCCCCGAACUCUGCCUGAAGAUUGUCGUCUGAGUGAAAAUAUAAAUUAUUUAAAACUUUCAACAACGGAUCUCUUGGUUCCGGCAUCGAUGAAGAACGCAGCGAAAUGCGAUACGUAAUGUGAAUUGCAAAUUCAGUGAAUCAUCGAGUCUUUGAACGCACAUUGCGCCCCCUGGUAUUCCGGGGGGCAUGCCUGUCCGAGCGUCAUUGCUGCCCUCAAGCCCGGCUUGUGUGUUGGGCCCCGUCCUCCGAUUCCGGGGGACGGGCCCGAAAGGCAGCGGCGGCACCGCGUCCGGUCCUCGAGCGUAUGGGGCUUUGUCACCCGCUCUGUAGGCCCGGCCGGCGCUUGCCGAUCAACCCAAAUUUUUAUCCAGGUUGACCUCGGAUCAGGUAGGGAUACCCGCUGAACUUAAGCAUAUCAAUANGCNGGAGGAAUACCGAGUGAGGGCCCUUUGGGUCAACCUCCCACCGUGUUUAUUUACCUCGUUGCUUNGCGGGCCGCUUAACUGGCGNGGGGGCUCANCCGGGCCGCGCCGCGAAGACNCCCCGAACUCUGCUGAAGAUUGUNUCUGAGUGAAAAUAUAAAUUAUUUAAAACUUUCACAACGGAUCUCU